GACGAGCCACACAAACGUUAUUCGGAAUUACUGGGCUUAAAGGGCGCGUAGGCGGUCACGCACGUCCGUUGUGAAAUCGCUCGGCUCAACUGGGCGGGGUCAGCGGAUACGGCGUGGCUGGAGCAAGCUAGGGGGCAAUGGAAUUCCCGGUGUAGUGGUGGAAUGCGUAGAUAUCGGGAGGAACACCAGUGGCGAAGGCGGUUGCCUGGAGCUUUGCUGACGCUGAUGCGCGAAAGCGUGGGGAGCGAUCCGG
RNAcentral lists this ribosomal RNA (253 nucleotides) under uncultured bacterium. RNAcentral describes it as "partial 16S ribosomal RNA". It matches the Rfam family "Bacterial small subunit ribosomal RNA", at positions 524 to 776 of the family's 1533-position model. The record is from RNAcentral.